UACGUAGGGGGCAAGCGUUGUCCGGAAUCAUUGGGCAUAAAGCGCGUGUAGGCGGCUCGGUAAGUCUGCUGUGAAAGUCCAGGGCUCAACCCUGGAAAGCCGGUGGAAACUGUCGAGCUAGAGUCCGGAAGAGGCGAGUGGAAUUCCUGGUGUAGCGGUGAAAUGCGCAGAUAUCAGGAGGAACACCAAUGGCGAAGGCAGCCCCCUGGGCUAACACUGACGCUCAGGCACGAAAGCGUGGGGAGCAAACAGG
RNAcentral lists this ribosomal RNA (253 nucleotides) under uncultured bacterium. RNAcentral describes it as "partial 16S ribosomal RNA". It matches the Rfam family "Bacterial small subunit ribosomal RNA", at positions 524 to 776 of the family's 1533-position model. The record is from RNAcentral.